AUUGAACGCUGGCGGCAGGCCUAACACAUGCAAGUCGAGCGGUAACAGGGGUAGCUUGCUACCCGCUGACGAGCGGCGGACGGGUGAGUAAUGCAUGGGUAUCUGCCCGGUAGUGGGGGAUAACUCGGGGAAACCCGAGCUAAUACCGCAUACGUCCUACGGGAGAAAGCAGGGGAUCUUCGGACCUUGCGCUAUCGGAUGAGCCCAUGUCGGAUUAGCUUGUUGGUGAGGUAACGGCUCACCAAGGCGACGAUCCGUAGCUGGUCUGAGAGGAUGAUCAGCCACACCGGGACUGAGACACGGCCCGGACUCCUACGGGAGGCAGCAGUGGGGAAUAUUGGACAAUGGGGGAAACCCUGAUCCAGCCAUGCCGCGUGUGUGAAGAAGGCCUUCGGGUUGUAAAGCACUUUCAGUGGGGAAGAAGGCAUGAUGAUUAAUACUCGUCAUGAAGGACAUCACCCACAGAAGAAGCACCGGCUAACUCCGUG
Molecule: ribosomal RNA, 488 nt
Filed under: uncultured bacterium
Lineage: Bacteria
Description: bacterial SSU rRNA
Rfam family: Bacterial small subunit ribosomal RNA
Source: RNAcentral